This 440-nucleotide ribosomal RNA is filed under the name uncultured bacterium. Its description in RNAcentral is "partial 16S ribosomal RNA". It matches the Rfam family "Bacterial small subunit ribosomal RNA", at positions 338 to 795 of the family's 1533-position model. The record is from RNAcentral.
CCUACGGGGGACAGCAGUGGGGGAUAUUGCACAAUGGGGGAAACCCUGAUGCAGCGACGCCGCGUGAGCGAUGAAGUAUUUCGGUAUGUAAAGCUCUAUCAGCAGGGAAGAAAAUGACGGUACCUGACCAAGAAGCCCCGGCUAACUACGUGCCAGCAGCCGCGGUAAUACGUAGGGGGCAAGCGUUAUCCGGAUUUACUGGGUGUAAAGGGAGCGUAGACGGGUGUGCAAGUCUGAAGUGAAAGCCCGGGGCCCAACCCCGGGACUGCAUUUGAAACUGUGUGACUGGAGUGUCGGAGAGGCAGGCGGAAUUCCUGGUGUAGCGGUGAAAUGCGUAGAUAUCAGGAGGAACACCGGUGGCGAAGGCGGCCUGCUGGACGAAAACUGACGUUGAGGCUCGAAAGCGUGGGGAGCAAACAGGAUUAGAUACCCGGGUAGUC